Molecule: ribosomal RNA, 377 nt
Filed under: uncultured bacterium
Lineage: Bacteria
Description: bacterial SSU rRNA
Rfam family: Bacterial small subunit ribosomal RNA
Source: RNAcentral
AGUGAACGCUGGCGGCAGGCCUAACACAUGCAAGUCGAGCGGCAGCGGGUUCCCGCGAGGGGAUGCCGGCGAGCGGCGGACGGGUGAGGAACACAUCGGAAUCUGCCUGGGUUGUGGGGGAUAACGUAGGGAAACUUACGCUAAUACCGCAUGAGACCCCUGAGUCGACGGACUGGGGGUGAAAGUGAGGGACCUUCGGGCCUCACGCGACCAGAUGAGCCGAUGUCGGAUUAGCUAGUUGGCGGGGUAACGGCCCGCCAAGGCGACGAUCCGUAGCUGGUCUGAGAGGAUGAUCAGCCACACUGGGACUGAGACACGGCCCAGACUCCUACGGGAGGCAGCAGUGGGGAAUCUUGGACAAUGGGCGCAAGCCUGAU